RNAcentral lists this transfer RNA (73 nucleotides) under Trichobilharzia regenti. It matches the Rfam family "tRNA". From Rfam's summary of the family: Transfer RNA (tRNA) molecules are approximately 80 nucleotides in length. Their secondary structure includes four short double-helical elements and three loops (D, anti-codon, and T loops). Lineage: Eukaryota; Metazoa; Platyhelminthes; Trematoda; Strigeidida; Schistosomatidae. The record is from Rfam by way of RNAcentral.
GCUACGGUGGUGUAGCGGUUAUCAUAGCUGCCUUCCAAGCAGUCAAUCCUGGUUUCGACUCCCGGCGGUCGCA